This 560-nucleotide ribosomal RNA is filed under the name uncultured euryarchaeote. RNAcentral's name for it is "bacterial SSU rRNA". It matches the Rfam family "Archaeal small subunit ribosomal RNA", at positions 46 to 619 of the family's 1478-position model. Lineage: Archaea; Methanobacteriati; Methanobacteriota. The record is from RNAcentral.
AAGCCAUGCGACUCGUGAGGGUGCGGCCCUCGGCAGACGGCUCAGUAACACGUAGCAGAUUUGCCCUUAGGUGGAGGAUACCCUCGGGAAACUGAGAAUAAUACUACAUAUGAUCUCCCCUGCUGGAAUGCAUUUAGAUUGAAAGAUUUAUCGCCUAAGGAUAAGUCUGCGGACUAUCAGGUUGUAGUCAGGGUAACUACCUGACUAGCCUACGACGGAUACGGGUAGUGAGAGCUAUAGCCCGGAGAUGAUAUCUCAGACACGAUAUCAGGCCCUACGGGGCGCAGCAGGCGCGAAACUUCGCACUGUGUCGAAACUCGAAGAGGGGAUCCCAAGUGCUGGCUCGUAAGAGUCAGCUGUUUCUCUGUCUAAAAAACAGAGAGAGUAAGGCUGGGUAAGACGGGUGCCAGCCGCCGCGGUAAUACCUGCAGCUAAGUGGUGGCCGCUAUUAUUGGGCCUAAAACGUCCGUAGCCGGUUCUAUCCCUGCCUGGGUAAAUCGUACGGCUAACCGUACGAAUCCGGUAGACUGUUCACUGGGACCGGAGAGGCUAGAUGUACU